AUUCCUAAGGUUUCAUUUGGAAUUGCGGAAAGAUUGUGUUACGUGCGGUGGAAAAGUACAGUGAAAAAAUAUCAUGUUUGUUUUCGUGCGUAAUAUUGCGUUUCGCAUAUCGCGAUUAGUCGGUUACCAUAUAUUUUCUACGGUCUCACCGAAAAAUACAGAAACAUAUUCCUAUAUACUUUUUUUUCAAUUUUAUUUUAUCUAAUAAUAUUUGAUAGGUCUCAGAUUCUUAUUGAACUCUGACAUGUAAUUUAUCUUCUUCAAUAUACCACGUAUUGUACUUUUAAUUUGAUACAAAAU
RNAcentral lists this long non-coding RNA (300 nucleotides) under Ananas comosus (pineapple). RNAcentral describes it as "long non-coding RNA (ACOM_LNC025157)". Lineage: Eukaryota; Viridiplantae; Streptophyta; Magnoliopsida; Poales; Bromeliaceae. The record is from RNAcentral.